CCUACGGGAGGCAGCAGUGAGGAAUAUUGGUCAAUGGGCGCGAGCCUGAACCAGCCAAGUCGCGUGAGGGAUGAUGGCCCUACGGGUUGUAAACCUCUUUUGCCGGGGAGCAACGGGCGCCACGUGUGGCGCCCCUGAUAGUACCCGGAGAAAAAGCAUCGGCUAACUCCGUGCCAGCAGCCGCGGUAAUACGGAGGAUGCGCGCGUUAUCCGGAUUUAUUGGGUUUAAAGGGUGCGUAGGCGGAUCGUUAAGUCAGUGGUCAAAUUGAGGGGCUCAACCCCUUCCCGCCAUUGAAACUGGCGCUCUUGAGUGGAAGAGAAGUAGGCGGAAUGCGGGGUGUAGCGGUGAAAUGCAUAGAUAUCACGCAGAACCCCGAUUGCGAAGGCAGCAUGCCGGCUUCCGACUGACGCUGAAGCACGAAAGCGUGGGGAUCGAACAGGAUUAGAUACCCGUGUAGUC
This 460-nucleotide ribosomal RNA is filed under the name uncultured bacterium. Its description in RNAcentral is "partial 16S ribosomal RNA". It matches the Rfam family "Bacterial small subunit ribosomal RNA", at positions 338 to 795 of the family's 1533-position model. The record is from RNAcentral.